GAGAAACAAGCCUACAAAUAACACAGGGGCAGAAGUAGAAUUAUAGAACAGAAGCAACAAUUCAUCAUAAAGAAAAGCUUUAUGAUCAUUGGCAAAGAACUUCUACCUUUCUGAGAAGCUCUUCUCAAUGACAGAAGGAAACCCACUUGGGAUCAUCUGUCUUCUAGUUUUCCUGCCCACAGCUGGAAAGAACUUUCCCAGUGUACAAAUCCUGCAAACACAUGGGUUCCAACAGUCACAAGAAAGUUUAAGUUGAAGAGAGCAAGGAAAACGGAGACAAGGAAAAAAACCAGACCUAACAAGAAAUGAGGGGCAGAAGAUAAUCAGUUCUAGAAAAAAUGAAAUUAACCUAUGGUGGUAAAGAUCAGAAUACAGAUUCCCUCUGGAUGAUGAAGACUGACAAGGCAGCAGUAGUGACAAAAAGGAUCUACACAUUGAUUGGGGUGGUAUUCAUGCAGGUAUAAACAUUCAUCAAAACUUACUGGACUAUACAUUUAAAAUCUGUACAUUUUGCUAUAUGUCAGUGGUAUCUCAAUUUUUAGAAAUAAAAAAGCUCAAAAAAGUCUUCAUAAAAAAUGGCAAAAAACAGUUUUCCAUCAUGUUGCACUUAUGUGGCUGACCAUAUAAGAAGAUAUUUGAAGGGCUCAAACAUACUUUAGACAAAGAUAAAUCUCUUUAAAGUACUAUAGAAAUUGGGGAUC
Molecule: long non-coding RNA, 701 nt
Organism: Canis lupus familiaris (dog)
Lineage: Eukaryota; Metazoa; Chordata; Mammalia; Carnivora; Canidae
Exons: 4
Source: RefSeq, a predicted model, not a curated record